Long non-coding RNA from Cavia porcellus (domestic guinea pig), 1890 nucleotides. RefSeq lists it as uncharacterized. The transcript is spliced from 3 exons. The record is from RefSeq and is a predicted model, not a curated record. Lineage: Eukaryota; Metazoa; Chordata; Mammalia; Rodentia; Caviidae.
GUGUUUCACGUAUCAAAGGUAGCUGUAAACUCACAGGCUAAGCCUGGCACAGAGGCCAGGAGGCAUGGCCCGCAGGAGGAGGUAAUUGGUAGCAUUAUGUUUCCCUCGAACGAAGAAGGUAAAAGCCAGAUUAGAAAAGGUCAAAAAGAGACUAGAAGGAAAGAAAUUUAGGGGUACAGGUGUGAACUUUGGGCCAAGAAGCAUUGCUUAACCAGAAGAACAAGGUUAAGAGAAGUAAUCACAGCCCAAAGAGGCACCAGGCAUGUGGCACUCUGUGGGCCGUUCAUAGUUCAGUCUUGGCAAGAUACUGGAACUUAUUAUUCUACAAACCCAGCGCUUCAAAGUUGAUGAGAUUUUUACUGCUGCUGCAAAUGAUGAAGGAAGGGAGAAUUUAGGAGUGAAGACAGUUGCGAGGAGGCCCACGGCUGUCCGCGCUGCUGAUGUGGUCUGUAACCCCACUGGAAUCAAGAGAAGCAGGCUUUUCAAACCUUUGCUGCAUAAACCUUGUUAUCGCUGAAAUAGACCACUUGAGAUAGAGGUGCCGAUGGAUUUGCUGCUGAUGACAGCUCACCAGGACCCAGCUCUCCAUUCAGAUCUGUUGGUGCCUGAAUGCGGAGCUGAAUGCACAAGCCUGGAGCUGUUACCAUCGUGUCCUCCCUUUCCCAAAAUAGCACCUGAAAAAUGGAGGCUGAACACAAUGUUUAAUGUUUUUCAGCUUCACUAUGCUCUAAAAUGGGCCUGAGCUGUGAUAAUAAGUGAAAGUACUCGGAUAGUCCCAGCACAUCAGCAUUUCUGAUCAUAAUGAUUUGUGACUCAGACCUUGAGAGCUGUGGGAUUUCUUUCUAGUUGAAUCAAUACAAGUUUACAUAAAUAUAUGUUUCUGUUUUCCUUUUGUUCUUGCUUCAGCAUUCAUGUUUACUUGCUGGCAAGUAUAUACAAUGGGAGGGUGAGAGGGAAAGAAAUGGAGCGAAAGAUGACUCAGAAGAAAUUAUUUGAGUGGGUUCAAAUUUCUUUCCUGAUUAUGACUUUUUAGUGAGCCUAUUUGUUUUGCUUAUAAGGGGGAACACACUGGAAUUUUCCUUUGAAAAGAUAAAAUUUAUCCUAGGCAUUUAAGAGAUAUAACCACUCAUCUAUUACCCUGAUUCUAAACUGUAGCCAUCCUUGCAGAGCAAACUGUAUCAGAGUGUUCGAUGUGUUGGGGAGUUUUGUAUUGGAGACAUGUAUCCCAAAACAUUAUUCAACAGUCAUGUAUGGUUGAUUUGCUACUGAUACAAGGAGGUAAGAGAGCAUUCACCCCACUUUUAAAAUCUGCCUCAUUCAAGGGGAUAAGCCUCAAGAUAACAGUGUGUGAUCAUUUCCUGCACGGUGGGAAGAUAGGAAGACCUUUCACUUCCACUUGAAUAACCACAAAGAUGAAGAAGAGGCCACCUUAUUAAAGAAUUAUCUGUGGCACAGAUUCUAUUACCAAAUAUUAUCCCUUCCUCGCCCUCCUGGUCUCACCUGCUUUUGCAAGUGCCCCAGGCACAGGACUGGUAGCUGCUUUCUAUGACUCGUGCAAUUUGUGAAAUGUAGAAACUCAGCUCACUAAGGUCACAAACGGGAUCUGAAAUUGAGACUUUCCCUCAACAAACUAUGGGCCACUCAGGGGCUGCUCAAGGUUGAGCUGGGAAGGUGACCAUCUCUUACUAAGUUGUCCCUAUUUCUUAUUUGCCAGAGGCAGUUCUGAGCAUGUUAUAGCUUCUUAAUGUGAGUUCGAACCCAAGACUCUUGACCUGAAGCAUUUCUGACUUCCUUAUCUGUAAGUCACAUUUCAACAAGAAAUUAAUUAAGUUAUUGGGAAAUGAAUAUUACUUAACAUACGUACAUUUUCUCUGAGUUUAUUUAGGUAAA